Molecule: long non-coding RNA, 179 nt
Organism: Periophthalmus magnuspinnatus
Lineage: Eukaryota; Metazoa; Chordata; Actinopteri; Gobiiformes; Gobiidae
Exons: 4
Source: RefSeq, a predicted model, not a curated record
GUUGUACAGUUGUAGGGAGUAUUAUCUUUGACAUGAGGGUGAGUUGUUGUACAGUUGUAGGGAGUAUUAUCUGUGACAUAAGGGUGAGUUGUUGUACAGUUGUAGGGAGUAUUAUCUGUGACAUAAGGGUGAGUUGUUGUGCAGUUGUAGGGAGUAUUAUCUAUGACAUAAGGGUGAGU